Rattus rattus (black rat) is the source of this 335-nucleotide long non-coding RNA. RefSeq lists it as uncharacterized. Lineage: Eukaryota; Metazoa; Chordata; Mammalia; Rodentia; Muridae. The transcript has 3 exons. The record is from RefSeq and is a predicted model, not a curated record.
GUCCGUGGCAUCCGCGCAGCGGCCGCAAGUGUAGCAGGUUUCGUACCUGGUGUUCAUCGCCGUUAAGUCAUCGCUGCUACCACUCAGGCGCGGCUCUAUCCCGCCGCUCCCUCUACCCUCUCGGCACUGCCAGCAGUAAGAAUUUUUGCUACGACACUCUCUUCAGCAGGAGGUGAUGGCUGUCAGGAAUUAUGGUGCUUGUGAAGUGAUAAACUGAACCCUUUGGAUUCCAUGAAGUUAUUAAAGAAUAUAGUUUUCAAAUCACGGCAAAAUCGUGAUUUCAGCAACACGCCAAGAUGAAUCAUUGUUUUCAUGGACAACUGUGGGAGGCAGUU